UAAUAUAUCGGAACGUACCCUGGAGUGGGGGAUAACGUAGCGAAAGUUACGCUAAUACCGCAUACGAUCUAAGGAUGAAAUGGGGGAUCGCAAGACCUCAUGCUCCUGGAGCGGCCGAUAUCUGAUUAGCUAGUUGGUAGGGUAAAGGCCUACCAAGGCAUCGAUCAGUAGCUGGUCUGAGAGGACGACCAGCCACACUGGAACUGAGACACGGUCCAG
This 219-nucleotide ribosomal RNA is filed under the name uncultured bacterium. Its description in RNAcentral is "partial 16S ribosomal RNA". It matches the Rfam family "Bacterial small subunit ribosomal RNA", at positions 111 to 334 of the family's 1533-position model. The record is from RNAcentral.